This 461-nucleotide ribosomal RNA is filed under the name uncultured bacterium. RNAcentral describes it as "bacterial SSU rRNA". It matches the Rfam family "Bacterial small subunit ribosomal RNA", at positions 43 to 524 of the family's 1533-position model. The record is from RNAcentral.
CAGGCCUAACACAUGCAAGUCGAACGGAGUUCUUCGGAACUUAGUGGCGGACGGGUGAGUAACGCGUGAGAAUCUGGCUUCAGGUUCGGGACAACAGUCGGAAACGAUUGCUAAUACCGGAUGUGCCCUUGGGUGAAAGAUUUAUCACCUGAAGAUGAGCUCGCGUCUGAUUAGCUAGUUGGUGUGGUAAGAGCGCACCAAGGCACCGAUCAGUAGCUGGUCUGAGAGGAUGACCAGCCACACUGGGACUGAGACACGGCCCAGACUCCUACGGGAGGCAGCAGUGGGGAAUUUUGCACAAUGGGCGCAAGCCUGAUGCAGCCAUGCCGCGUGUAUGAAGAAGGCCUUCGGGUUGUAAAGUACUUUCAGCGGGGAGGAAGGCGAUAAGGUUAAUAACCUUGUCGAUUGACGUUACCCGCAGAAGAAGCACCGGCUAACUCCGUGCCAGCAGCCGCGGUAAU